ACCUCAAGAUAAGAUUUCCCUAGGACUUUAUGUCCUCUAAAGAGCCGUUCGAGACUAGGACGUUGAUAGGUUGGAUGUGGAAGCAUAGUGAUAUGUGAAGCUGACCAAUACUAAUUGCUCGUGAGGCUUGACUAU
RNAcentral lists this ribosomal RNA (135 nucleotides) under Acinetobacter baumannii. RNAcentral's name for it is "partial 23S ribosomal RNA". It matches the Rfam family "Bacterial large subunit ribosomal RNA", at positions 2796 to 2925 of the family's 2925-position model. The record is from RNAcentral. Lineage: Bacteria; Pseudomonadati; Pseudomonadota; Gammaproteobacteria; Moraxellales; Moraxellaceae.